CGUGUAGGCGGCUAACCAAGUCAGAUGUGAAAUCCCUGGGCUUAACCCAGGAACUGCAUCUGAAACUGGCUAGCUAGAGUACGGGAGAGGAAGGUGGAAUUCCUGGUGUAGAGGUGAAAUUCGUAGAUAUCGGGAAGAACACCGGUGGCGAAGGUGGCCUUCUGGCCCGAUACUGACGCUGAGACGCGAAAGCGUGGGGAGCAAACA
Molecule: ribosomal RNA, 207 nt
Filed under: uncultured bacterium
Lineage: Bacteria
Description: partial 16S ribosomal RNA
Rfam family: Bacterial small subunit ribosomal RNA
Source: RNAcentral